UUUCCGUAGGUGAACCUGCGGAAGGAUCAUUUAUAAUCAGUGUUUUAUGGCACUUUUUAAACAAUCCAUAUCCACCUUGUGUGCAACGUUAUGAGACCCUCCAUCGUUAUCUUUUAGGUUACGGAAGAGUGAACCUCUACAACUUACCAACAUCACCUUUAACUUAUUUAUCUGAAACUUUGUUAUCAUGAACUAACUUAAUCCGAAAAUACAACUUUCAACAACGGAUCUCUUGGCUCUCGCAUCGAUGAAGAACGCAGC
RNAcentral lists this unclassified non-coding RNA (261 nucleotides) under plant metagenome. RNAcentral's name for it is "partial contains small subunit ribosomal RNA, internal transcribed spacer 1, and 5.8S ribosomal RNA". The stretch from base 213 to 261 matches the Rfam family "5.8S ribosomal RNA", at positions 1 to 49 of the family's 154-position model. The record is from RNAcentral.